RNAcentral lists this transfer RNA (83 nucleotides) under Bacteroidales bacterium. Its description in RNAcentral is "tRNA-Leu". It matches the Rfam family "tRNA". Rfam says of the family: Transfer RNA (tRNA) molecules are approximately 80 nucleotides in length. RNAcentral also lists the same sequence under 1 other name. Lineage: Bacteria; Pseudomonadati; Bacteroidota; Bacteroidia; Bacteroidales. The record is from RNAcentral.
GCGCGGGUGGCGGAAUGGUAGACGCGCUAGUUUCAGGAGCUAGUACCGUAAAAAGUGUGUGAGUUCGAGUCUCAUCCCGCGCA